This 1554-nucleotide ribosomal RNA is filed under the name Escherichia coli. Its description in RNAcentral is "bacterial SSU rRNA". It matches the Rfam family "Bacterial small subunit ribosomal RNA". The record is from RNAcentral. Lineage: Bacteria; Pseudomonadati; Pseudomonadota; Gammaproteobacteria; Enterobacterales; Enterobacteriaceae.
AAAUUGAAGAGUUUGAUCAUGGCUCAGAUUGAACGCUGGCGGCAGGCCUAACACAUGCAAGUCGAACGGUAACAGGAAUCAGCUUGCUGAUUCGCUGACGAGUGGCGGACGGGUGAGUAAUGUCUGGGAAACUGCCUGAUGGAGGGGGAUAACUACUGGAAACGGUAGCUAAUACCGCAUAACGUCGCAAGACCAAAGAGGGGGACCUUCGGGCCUCUUGCCAUCGGAUGUGCCCAGAUGGGAUUAGCUUGUUGGUGGGGUAACGGCUCACCAAGGCGACGAUCCCUAGCUGGUCUGAGAGGAUGACCAGCCACACUGGAACUGAGACACGGUCCAGACUCCUACGGGAGGCAGCAGUGGGGAAUAUUGCACAAUGGGCGCAAGCCUGAUGCAGCCAUGCCGCGUGUAUGAAGAAGGCCUUCGGGUUGUAAAGUACUUUCAGCGGGGAGGAAGGGAGUAAAGUUAAUACCUUUGCUCAUUGACGUUACCCGCAGAAGAAGCACCGGCUAACUCCGUGCCAGCAGCCGCGGUAAUACGGAGGGUGCAAGCGUUAAUCGGAAUUACUGGGCGUAAAGCGCACGCAGGCGGUUUGUUAAGUCAGAUGUGAAAUCCCCGGGCUCAACCUGGGAACUGCAUCUGAUACUGGCAAGCUUGAGUCUCGUAGAGGGGGGUAGAAUUCCAGGUGUAGCGGUGAAAUGCGUAGAGAUCUGGAGGAAUACCGGUGGCGAAGGCGGCCCCCUGGACGAAGACUGACGCUCAGGUGCGAAAGCGUGGGGAGCAAACAGGAUUAGAUACCCUGGUAGUCCACGCCGUAAACGAUGUCGACUUGGAGGUUGUGCCCUUGAGGCGUGGCUUCCGGAGCUAACGCGUUAAGUCGACCGCCUGGGGAGUACGGCCGCAAGGUUAAAACUCAAAUGAAUUGACGGGGGCCCGCACAAGCGGUGGAGCAUGUGGUUUAAUUCGAUGCAACGCGAAGAACCUUACCUGGUCUUGACAUCCACGGAAGUUUUCAGAGAUGAGAAUGUGCCUUCGGGAACCGUGAGACAGGUGCUGCAUGGCUGUCGUCAGCUCGUGUUGUGAAAUGUUGGGUUAAGUCCCGCAACGAGCGCAACCCUUAUCCUUUGUUGCCAGCGGUCCGGCCGGGAACUCAAAGGAGACUGCCAGUGAUAAACUGGAGGAAGGUGGGGAUGACGUCAAGUCAUCAUGGCCCUUACGACCAGGGCUACACACGUGCUACAAUGGCGCAUACAAAGAGAAGCGACCUCGCGAGAGCAAGCGGACCUCAUAAAGUGCGUCGUAGUCCGGAUUGGAGUCUGCAACUCGACUCCAUGAAGUCGGAAUCGCUAGUAAUCGUGGAUCAGAAUGCCACGGUGAAUACGUUCCCGGGCCUUGUACACACCGCCCGUCACACCAUGGGAGUGGGUUGCAAAAGAAGUAGGUAGCUUAACCUUCGGGAGGGCGCUUACCACUUUGUGAUUCAUGACUGGGGUGAAGUCGUAACAAGGUAACCGUAGGGGAACCUGCGGUUGGAUCACCUCCUUACCUUAAAGAAGC